This 1480-nucleotide ribosomal RNA is filed under the name uncultured Bacillota bacterium. RNAcentral's name for it is "uncultured Firmicutes bacterium 16S ribosomal RNA". It matches the Rfam family "Bacterial small subunit ribosomal RNA". The record is from RNAcentral. Lineage: Bacteria; Bacillati; Bacillota.
GAUCCUGGCUCAGGAGAACCCCGCGUGCCUAAUACAUGCAAGUCGAGCGGACCAAUUAAGAGCUUGCUCUUAUGAGGUUAGCGGCGGACGGGUGAGUAACACGUGGGCAACCUGCCCUGUAGACUGGGAUAACAUCGAGAAAUCGGUGCUAAUACCGGAUAAUAGAUGGAACUGCAUAGUUCCAUUUUAAAAGAUGGUUCUGCUAUCACUACAGGAUGGGCCCGCGGUGCAUUAGCUAGUUGGUAAGGUAUCUGCUUACCAAGGCGACGAUGCAUAGCCGACCUGAGAGGGUGAUCGGCCACACUGGGACUGAGACACGGCCCAGACACCAACAGGAGGCGGCAGUAGGGAAUCUUCCGCAAUGGACGAAAGCCUGACGGAUCAACGCCGCGUGAGUGAUGAAGGGUUUCGGCUCGUAAAGCUCUGUUGUUAGGGAAGAACAAGUGCCUGAGUAACUGCAGGCACCUUGACGGUACCUAACCAGAAAGCCACGGCUAACUACGUGCCAGCAGCCGCGGUAAUACGUAGUGGCAAGCGUUUGUCCGUUAAUUAUUGGGCGUAAAGCGCGCGCAGGCUGUCUCUUAAGUCUGAUGUGAAAGCCCCCCGGCUCAACCGGGGAGGGUCAUUGGAAACUGGGAGACUUGAGUACAGAAGAGGAGAGUGGAAUUUCUGGGUCUAGUUAACUGACGCAUGAAGGCGCGGAAAAACGUGGGGGAGGCAAAACCAGGAAUAGAUACCCCUUGGUAGGUCCCACGCUGUAAAACGAAGAGUGCUUAGGUGUUUAGGGGGGUUUGGAAUGCCCUUAAGUGCCGAAGGUUAAACAACAUUAAAGCACUCCCGCCUGGGGAGUACGACCGCAAAGGUUGAAAACUUAAAAAGGAAAUUAACGGGGGCCCGCACAAGCAAUGGAGCAUGUGGUUUAAUUCGAAGCAACGCGAAGAACCUUACCAGGUCUUGACAUCCCCAUGACCUCUCUAGAGAUAGAGGAUUUCCCUUCGGGGACAUGGGUGACAGGUGGUGCAUGGUUGUCGUCAGCUCGUGUCGUGAGAUGUUGGGUUAAGUCCCGCAACGAGCGCAACCCUUGAUCUUAGUUGCCAGCAUUUAGUUGGGCACUCUAAGGUGACUGCCGGUGACAAACCGGAGGAAGGUGGGGAUGACGUCAAAUCAUCAUGCCCCUUAUGACCUGGGCUACACACGUGCUACAAUGGAUGGUACAAAGAGCAGCGAAACCGCGAGGUCGAGCCAAUCUCAUAAAGCCAUUCUCAGUUCGGAUUGUAGGCUGCAACUCGCCUACAUGAAGCCGGAAUUGCUAGUAAUCGCGGAUCAGCAUGCCGCGGUGAAUACGUUCCCGGGCCUUGUACACACCGCCCGUCACACCACGAGAGUUUGUAACACCCGAAGUCGGUGGAGUAACCCUUACGGGAGCUAGCCGCCUAAGGUGGGACAGAUGAUUGGGGUGAAGUCGUAACAAGGUAGCCGU